Long non-coding RNA from Magallana angulata, 736 nucleotides. RefSeq lists it as uncharacterized. The transcript is spliced from 5 exons. NCBI's taxonomy places the organism in Eukaryota, Metazoa, Mollusca, Bivalvia, Ostreida, Ostreidae. The record is from RefSeq and is a predicted model, not a curated record.
CAGUAUAUUUUUUCAGUGAUUAAACACGUAUCUGGUAACGUUAAUCAACAUAUAACAUACAUAUUACUUUGCAGCUAGAGAAAAUUCAGUCUGUCUGCAUAUGAGUUAUCGCGGGAUAUAACUCGAACGGGAUUUCGGAAACGAAUAAAAAUGUUUGCAAGGGCUUACAAAAGAGAUGCACAUCAACCUGUAGCGCUUUAAAUGUUUAAUGAUAAUUACUCUAAUCAUAUCUAAAUUACAAAUUCUGAUCUGAUUUAUCGCUUUUUGGUAUAUUGCUCUUAAAUAAAUCAAACACCAUCCCGACGGUUCUCAGUACCAAAAUUAUACGCAAUAUGUGACGUCAGCAGGAACGAGACUCGAGUACAAAGUGAUUGACAGAGCAUGACAAAAACAUCUCUACACGGAUAUGGAGUUGGUACUAUUUGGAUGGAGGUGUGAACAUGAUGACAUGCCAUGCUUGUUGGCUGUAUAAAAGUCCAAAGAAGAGAAGAAAAGAUCCUUUCAUAUUUUUCCAGAGUGCCUUAAUUUCCGCCAUUAAUCAGUUAAUAGCAGAGAACCUUAAGUUUGCACAUGCAGAUUUGCAAAGACUCUUUUGAGAAGAUUUUAACAGCAUGACAACCAACAACAUUCAGGAAAAAAUUAAUAGAUGCAGUGAUUGAUGAACUAACAAACCUUUUCAAGAAGUGGAAGAAGAAAUUUUAAUUUUGUUCUCAUCUAAAUAAAGAAGAUUUUCCUA